RNAcentral lists this ribosomal RNA (266 nucleotides) under uncultured bacterium. Its description in RNAcentral is "partial 16S ribosomal RNA". It matches the Rfam family "Bacterial small subunit ribosomal RNA", at positions 92 to 354 of the family's 1533-position model. The record is from RNAcentral.
CGACCGGCGCACGGGUGAGUAACACGUAUGCAACCUGGCCGUCACAGGUGGAUAACCGGAAGAAAUUCCGACUAAUACAGCAUAACACUCCUGAGGGACAUCCUUCGGGAGUCAAAGGAGGCAACUCCGGUGACGGAUGGGCAUGCGGCGCAUUAGGUAGUUGGUAGGGUAACGGCCUACCAAGCCGACGAUGCGUAGGGGUUCUGAGAGGAAGGCCCCCCACACUGGGACUGAGACACGGCCCAGACUCCUACGGGAGGCAGCAG